This 78-nucleotide transfer RNA is filed under the name Victivallaceae bacterium. RNAcentral describes it as "tRNA-Pro". It matches the Rfam family "tRNA". From Rfam's summary of the family: Transfer RNA (tRNA) molecules are approximately 80 nucleotides in length. Their secondary structure includes four short double-helical elements and three loops (D, anti-codon, and T loops). RNAcentral also lists the same sequence under 1 other name. The record is from RNAcentral. Lineage: Bacteria; Pseudomonadati; Lentisphaerota; Lentisphaeria; Victivallales; Victivallaceae.
CGGGAUGUAGCGCAGCUUGGCUAGCGCGUUUGACUGGGGGUCAAAAGGUCGCAAGUUCAAAUCUUGUCAUCCCGACCA